This 4701-nucleotide ribosomal RNA is filed under the name Triticum aestivum (bread wheat). RNAcentral describes it as "partial small subunit ribosomal RNA". The record is from RNAcentral. Lineage: Eukaryota; Viridiplantae; Streptophyta; Magnoliopsida; Poales; Poaceae.
AUGGAGGUGGCCGUCAGCGCAGCACGGUGGGUGGUGACCAAGGCGCUUGCCCCGGUGACAGAUGGCCUGCUGGAGGCGUGGGCGGCCAGCGCUGGGCUCGGCCCCAACAUUGAUGCCCUCAAGAUGCAGCUGCUCUAUGCCCAGGGGAUGCUCAACAACGCCCCGGGGCAAGGCAGGGACAUCACCAACCCUGCGCUCAAGGGGCUGCUGCACAAGCUGCGGCAGCUGGCCUACGUCGCCGACGACGCGCUCGACGAGCUGGACUACUUCCGCAUCCAGGACGCGCUGGAAGGCACCUACCACGCAGCAGCCGGCGUGGAUGACCUGGGCUGCCUCCAGGCCCUCGCCCUCAACGCUCGCCACACGGCUAGAUAUGUUGCCGGGAAGAUCAAGUCCAUGAGCUCCUGCUCGCGUGCUGCUAGCCCACUUGAUGCCCAAGAAGAUAUUGGUGGGAGCCGUGGAUGCUCAUGUGCCGGCGGAUGCAGCAUGCCCAAGGUUGCCUCUGGUGCUGUUCAAGCUGCUGUUGGUAAACACUUCCCGUGCUGCUACUCUUCUCCUCAUACCAGUGAGUUAGUCGAAUCGUCCAACGUGCCAGCUGCAAGCAAAUGGUGGCUCCUCUGUGGCGCCUGCCCACCUAAGGCACCGACACAGAGAGUUGGCACCACAGAGGAAACACCAAAACUGAAAUUUGAUAGGGUGGAAAUGUCCAAGAGAAUGAUAGACAUCGUAGAGCAGCUGAAGCAUGUAUGUGCUAUGGUCUCCACCAUUCUCAAUCUAGAGCUACUAAGCUUAAGCCGUAUUCCUAACCCAGACGUGAUUUCUAAGGAUCGACCCAAAACAACCCCACAAAUUAUAGAGCCCCAACUAUAUGGGAGGGAUGCCCAGAAGAAAAUUGUAGAUGGCAUCACCAGGGGUGAAUAUUCUUCCGAACAACUUACUGUCCUUCCAAUUGUUGGGCCAGGGGGUGUUGGGAAGACUACCUUUACACAACACAUAUUUGAAGAAGUGAAGAGCUGUUUCCAGGUUAGAAUUUGGAUAUGUGUGUCUCUCAACUUCACUGCUGAUAGGUUGGCACAAGAGAUUUUGGAACAGAUCCCUAAAGAUAACAGUGAAAGUAAAAACAGUAGCAAGGAAGAGCUAAUUGAACAAAGGUUAAGAUCAAAGAGGUUCUUACUUGUCUUGGAUGAUGUGUGGAAAUAUCAUGACGAUGAGUGGAAAAAACUAUUAGCUCCGUUCAAAAAAGUUGGGACAGAAGGCAAUAUGGUUAUAGUCACAACUCGAAUUCCAGGGGUAGCAAACAUGGUCAGGACAGUUGACCAUUCUAUAGAAAUGGAACAUCUAGGUCCUCAAGAUAUUAUGUCUUUAUUUGAAGCAUAUGUAUUUGGGGACCAACAACAACCAUGGCAAGAACAUUAUGAAUUACAUGAUGUUGGGCUCAAAAUAGUGAAAAAUUUGAAGGGUUCCCCUCUUGCUGCAAAAACUGUGGGUAGAUUGCUGAGAAACCAACUUACACGUGACCAUUGGACAAGAGUUUCAGAAAGUAAAGAGUGGGAGUCACAAGUUAGUGACAAUGACAUUAUGCCAGCUCUCAAGCUUAGCUAUGAUUAUCUCCCUUUUCAUUUGCAACAAUGUCUUUCCUGUUGUGCAUUGUUUCCCGAAGAUUAUGAAUUUCAUGCAGAAGAGUUGGUUCAUCUGUGGAUUGGACUUGGUAUUUUACACUCAGAUGAUCAGAAGAAAAGAAUUGAAGAUGUUGGAUUGUGUUACCUAACUGACUUGGUUAAUCAAGGGUUUUUCAAAAAGAAUGUAUCGAGCUUUGGCAGUCCUUGUUACACCAUCCAUGAUCUACUACUUGAGUUGGUAGUGAAGGUCUCAUCAUAUGAGUGUCUUAGCAUAUCCAGCUCUAAUGUGAUGUCCAUACAAAUUCCCCCAUCUGUACGUCAUUUGUCUAUCAUUGUAGAUGAUGCGGACGUCAAGGACAAAGUGACUUUUGAAGACUACAAGAGGGGUUUGCGUGCAUUGGAAAAAAGAUUUGAAGUUCAAAACCUACAAACUUUGAUGUUAUUUGGAGAAUACCAUGCAAAUUUUUCAAGGGUUUUUCGUGGUUUAUUUUUUGAAGCCAGAGCCCUUCGUACUGUCUUUUUUUCUGGAGCAUCAUAUAAUGUGGAGGAUGUAUUGCCCAACUUUCCAAAGCUUGUUCAUCUUCGCUACUUAAGGAUCAAGUCAUCAGCUGGUUUUUAUGAUGACAAGAGCUUGUGUGUACCUAGUGUGCUGUGUAGAUUAUAUCACUUGGAAGUCAUUGAUCUACUAGGAUGGAAGGGCCGCUUCGGUUCAACAAGAUAUAUGAGCAACCUUGUAAAAUUGCGCCAUUUUGUUGUGCCCCGAGAAGAACUUCACUCUGACAUAUUUGAGGUGGGAAAACUAAACUUCAUCAAUGAAUUAAGGGCAUUUAGAGUGAGAAAAGAAAGUGAGGUGUUUGAACUGAGUCAACUAGGGAAACUAGGAAAUAUUGGAGGAUUACUUGGUAUUUACAAUCUUGAAAAGGUGCAAUCAGAAGAAGAAGCAACUGAAUCAAAACUGAUACAGAAAAGCCACAUGCAAGAGCUAAUACUAGGAUGGGAUGUUCACAGAUCUAACAGGAAUCCAACGUUUGAAGAAAAUGUGCUUGAAAAUCUUGUGCCACACAGAAAUCUUCAAUGCCUACGCAUUAGAGGGCAUGGCGGCACUAAUUGUCCAAGAUGGCUAAGUUCAAACCUCUCCGUCAAGAAUCUGGAGUCUCUUUCUCUGGAUGAUUUGUCUUGGGGAAACCUUCCACCUUUAGGAGAGAUGUGGAUGGUCAAUGGUCUUGGCCUAGAGUAUCAGAACUGUAACCUAGGCCAAAGAUUUCAAAAUUUGAAAAGGCUAGAAUUGGUUAAGAUACCAAGAUUGAGAAAAUGGGUUUGGGACAAUACUUCUCAUUUAUUCUCUCAACUAGAAGAACUCACUAUUAAAGAUUGCUCUGAACUCACUGAGCUGCGAUCUUCACAUCAUAGUUGUGAUCAGCCACAGCAAGAGAAGAGCAUGGCUUGGUUUUGUAGACUUAGGUCUCUCAGGAUAAAAGACUGCCCAAAGCUAUUGUCAUUUCCUCCAAUCCCUUGGACUUCUGGCCCUUGCUCUGCUGUGAUAGAACAGGUGGGCAACGGUCUUGAGAAGCUAGUUUACAUAGAAGAGAACGGAUCCGAAUCAACUUAUUCGCUGGAAGUGGAGGGAAAGGAUGGCCAGGAUUGUGUGUUCUUGAAUAAGUUGGUUUUCUCUAAUCUAACUUAUCUGAAAAAGAUAAGUGUCGAGCGAUGUGGUUGCAAUAGUAAGGAAUUGACACAACUGCUCUCACUUGUGCCGGAACUCACCCAAAUGAAAAUAGUGGGUUGUGAGGAGAUAAAAUGGCUGGGUGUGGCGGAGCAAUCAUCAACAUCUUCUUCUGCCGCUGCUGCUGAAAAAUUGUAUCAUGGGCAAAUCGGCCAGCAGCAGCGAGAGUCAAAAGGGGGAGUAGACGGAGUGCUGCUCUUGACUCCCCAGCUACAGAAGUUAACCAUCGAAGGGUUCCCAGAGCUGAGCUUGCUCUCCUAUUCACUGGAAGGUGACAGGGAAGGAGGUGGGCUCCAAGGUCUCCGCUCCCUCCAAUCAUUGAAAAUAAGGAACUGCCCCAUGUUACUCCACUCCUAUUCAAUCUCUUCUAUUCCUUUUCUGACCUCUCUGCAAGAAUUAAUGUUGAUGGAUUGUGGGGAGUUCAGAGGCGAGGGCAUAGGCCCUCUCCUCGCCCAAUGCCACCUUACAAAGUUAUCCAUCUUUAAAACCCCCAACUUCUUCGCUGGUUCUGAGCCACUUGACAAGGAGCUUCUUCCCCGCUCCUCUGCACAUCAGGAGCUUGAUCUGAGGACAGAUGAUAUUGCAGGGUUCCUUGCUGCUCAUAGGUGCAGCCUUCUCUCUUCCUCCCUCACCACCCUAACUAUUGGUUCGAACGAAGAUGCCGAGCGCUUCACACACGAGCAAGCGGAGGCCCUUGUGCUCCUCACCUCCCUCCAUACGCUCGUGUUUAUUUAUUGCGAGAAGCUGCAGUGCCUCCCGGCAGGUCUAAAUAGACUUGCCAGCCUCGAGACAUUACAGAUAGUGGAGUGUCAAGUCAUUCGGUCAUUGCCAGAGGACGGCCUCCCGAGUUCUCUGCAAAAAUUGGAUAUCAGCAGAUGUCCUGCCAUCAAGUCGCUACCCAAGGGCAGCCUCCCAAGUUCGCCGCAAUUAUUAGUUAUCUACAAGUGCCCUGCUCUGAUGUCUCUGCCCAAAAACGGCCUCCCAAGCUCACUACAAAAUCUGGUAAUCUGGGACUGCCCCGCCUUAAAGUCGCUGCCGGAGGAUGGCCUCCCAAGAUCUCUGCAGGAACUACAGAUCGCUGGCUGCCCUGCCCUGGUGUCUCUGCCCAAAAACGGCCUCCCAAGCUCUCUGCAAAAAUUUGUAAUCUGGAACUGCCCCACCUUAAAGUGGCUACCGGAGGAUGGCCUCCCAAGAUCUCUGCAGGAACUACAGAUCGGCGCGAGUACAGUAAUCACUUCACUACCCAAGGGCGGCCUCCCAAAAUCACUGCAAGUAUUAGAUGUCUGUACGUGUGACAACGAGGAGCUAAAGAGGCAGUGCCUCAAGUUAAGAGGAACUAUCCCCAAGAUCAUAAUUUAA